RNAcentral lists this ribosomal RNA (492 nucleotides) under uncultured bacterium. RNAcentral's name for it is "partial 16S ribosomal RNA". It matches the Rfam family "Bacterial small subunit ribosomal RNA", at positions 30 to 507 of the family's 1533-position model. The record is from RNAcentral.
AUUGAACGCUGGCGGCAGGCCUAACACAUGCAAGUCGAGCGGAAGAACAGUACUAGCUCGUUGUUACGGGUGCCGACUGGUGGAUGGGUCCUAGAAAUCUCCCUGUCUGUUUUUUCUAGCGGCCUAACACGGGCACUCUUACCCCAUUCCCCCAUACGGCGUACGGGUGAGAGCUGCGGAUCUUCCGCCAUCGCAUGAUCCUAUGACCCGAUGUCGGAUUAGCUAGUUGGCGGGGUAAAGGCCCACCAAGGCGACGAUCCGUAGCUGGUCUGAGAGGAUGAUCAGCCACACUGGAACUGAGACACGGUCCAGACUCCUACGGGAGGCAGCAGUGGGGAAUAUUGGACAAUGGGCGAAAGCCUGAUCCAGCCAUGCCGCGUGGGUGAAGAAGGCCUUCGGGUUGUAAAGCCCUUUUGUUGGGAAAGAAGAGCAGCAGGUUAAUACCCCGCUGUUCUGACGGUACCAAAAGAAUAAGCACCGGCUAACUUCGUG